This 611-nucleotide ribosomal RNA is filed under the name uncultured bacterium. Its description in RNAcentral is "bacterial SSU rRNA". It matches the Rfam family "Bacterial small subunit ribosomal RNA", at positions 725 to 1336 of the family's 1533-position model. The record is from RNAcentral.
GUCUCUGGGCAGUAACUGACGCUGAGGAGCGAAAGCAUGGGGAGCGAACAGGAUUAGAUACCCUGGUAGUCCAUGCCGUAAACGGUGGGCGCUAGGUGUGAGUCCCUUCCACGGGGUUCGUGCCGUAGCUAACGCAUUAAGCGCCCCGCCUGGGGAGUACGGCCGCAAGGCUAAAACUCAAAGGAAUUGACGGGGGCCCGCACAAGCGGCGGAGCAUGUGGAUUAAUUCGAUGCAACGCGAAGAACCUUACCUGGGCUUGACAUACACUGGAUCGGGCUAGAGAUAGUCUUUCCCUUUGUGGCUGGUGUACAGGUGGUGCAUGGUUGUCGUCAGCUCGUGUCGUGAGAUGUUGGGUUAAGUCCCGCAACGAGUGCAACCCUUGUCUUAUGUUGCCAGCAUUUGGUUGGGGACUCAUGAGAGACUGCCGGGGUGAACUCGGAGGAAGGUGGGGAUGACGUCAAAUCAUCAUGCCCCUUAUGUCCAGGGCUUCACACAUGCUACAAUGGUCGGUACAACGCGUGUGCGAUCCUGUGAGGGUGUGCUAAUCGCUGAAAGCCGGUCGUAGUUCGGAUUGGGGUCUGCAACUCGACCCCAUGAAGUCGGAGUCGCU